GAUGAACGCUGGCGGCGUGCCUAAUACAUGCAAGUCGAACGCUGGAAAUCUAGCUUGCUCGCUUGAAGGAGUGGCGAACGGGUGAGUAAUACAUAAGCAACCUACCCACGAAGACUGGGAUAAUCUCUGGAAACGGGGACUAAUACCGGAUAGGUAAUCGGAAGGCAUCUUCUGAUUAUUAAAGGUUAAAAACACUGGUGGAUGGGCUUAUGGCGCAUUAGUUAGUUGGUGAGGUAACGGCCCACCAAGACGAUGAUGCGUAGCCGGCCUGAGAGGGUGAACGGCCACAUUGGGACUGAGACACGGCCCAGACUCCUACGGGAGGCAGCAGUAGGGAAUUUUCGGCAAUGGGGGAAACCCUGACCGAGCAACGCCGCGUGAGUGAUGACGGCCUUCGGGUUGUAAAGCUCUGUUGUAAGGGAAGAACGGUAGAUAGAGAAUAUCUAAAUGACGGUACCUUACCAGAAAGCCACGGCUAACUACGU
This 485-nucleotide ribosomal RNA is filed under the name uncultured bacterium. Its description in RNAcentral is "partial 16S ribosomal RNA". It matches the Rfam family "Bacterial small subunit ribosomal RNA", at positions 28 to 506 of the family's 1533-position model. The record is from RNAcentral.